AACUUCCCCUUAAAAACGGGAAUUACAAGAACUUUUACGCAAUUGACGCUUAUUCUCAGAGAUCCGUGGGAAAAAACGAAUCGAAAUUGUCUCUUGGAAAACGUUUUCUAUUUGUAAACUCCUGUAUCUCGAAAUGCACGAUUCUUAACUCGAUUGGAAAAUGUACAUUUUUCGAGGCAUAGAUACCAGUUCGCCGUGGUCUUGUUAGUUUUCUUGGGAAUCGUGGAUUUUCGAAAUGUCUGCCAACACUUGGCUGAUUUAAGACUUGGAACUUAUCCGACACGAGACACGCGAAAUUCAUGGCACGUGGUAAUGAACGUAUCGUACAACUUUGUAAAAAAUGUUUACUCGAGGCAACAAACUCUACGACUUCCUCGACGAUCCAAACAUUAAGUGGACACGACUCUGUACCGAUGGACAUGAGUGCCGAGAUCCUCCCUGGAUAUAGCGCUGGUUGCAUGCUCCACGUUCAAUCGAUGCCAGAAUCACGGGUACGCGAGUUCGAAGCGAGGACCAAUUUGUUAGGAGGCUGCUAGUUGACUGGACCAUACUAGGAUACACUUCGAAACGAGUCUAG
Colletes gigas is the source of this 577-nucleotide long non-coding RNA. RefSeq lists it as uncharacterized. The record is from RefSeq and is a predicted model, not a curated record. The transcript is spliced from 3 exons. NCBI's taxonomy places the organism in Eukaryota, Metazoa, Arthropoda, Insecta, Hymenoptera, Colletidae.